GGGAACGUGCCUUUAGGUUCGGAAUAGCUCCUGGAAACGGGUGGUAAUGCCGAAUGUGCCCUUCGGGGGAAAGAUUUAUCGCCUUUAGAGCGGCCCGCGUCUGAUUAGCUAGUUGGUUGAGGUAACGGCUCACCAAGGCGACGAUCAGUAGCUGGUCUGAGAGGAUGACCAGCCACAUUGGGACUGAGACACGGCCCAAACUCCUACGGGAGGCGGCAGUGGGGAAUCUUGCGCAAUGGGCGAAAGCCUGACGCAGCCAUGCCGCGUGAAUGAUGAAGGUCUUAGGAUUGUAAAAUUCUUUCACCGGGGACGAUAAUGACGGUACCCGGAGAAGAAGCCCCGGCUAACUUCGUGCCAGCAGCCGCGGUAAUACGAAGGGGGCUAGCGUUGCUCGGAAUUACUGGGCGUAAAGGGCGCGUAGGCGGACAUUUAAGUCAGGGGUGAAAUCCCAGAGCUCAACUCUGGAACUGCCUUUGAUACUGGGUGUCUUGAGUGUGAGAGAGGUAUGUGGAACUCCGAGU
RNAcentral lists this ribosomal RNA (521 nucleotides) under uncultured bacterium. RNAcentral's name for it is "bacterial SSU rRNA". It matches the Rfam family "Bacterial small subunit ribosomal RNA", at positions 120 to 674 of the family's 1533-position model. The record is from RNAcentral.